RNAcentral lists this ribosomal RNA (253 nucleotides) under uncultured bacterium. RNAcentral's name for it is "partial 16S ribosomal RNA". It matches the Rfam family "Bacterial small subunit ribosomal RNA", at positions 524 to 776 of the family's 1533-position model. The record is from RNAcentral.
UACGUAGGGGGCUAGCGUUGUCCGGAAUCAUUGGGCGUAAAGCGCGUGUAGGCGGUCCGGUAAGUCCGCUGUGAAAGUCGGGGGCUCAACCCUCGAAUGCCGGUGGGUACUGUCGGGCUAGAGUGCGGAAGAGGCGAGUGGAAUUCCUGGUGUAGCGGUGAAAUGCGCAGAUAUCUGGAGGAACACCGGUGGCGAAGGCGACAUCCUGGGCCGGUAUUGACGCUGAGGCGCGAAAGCCAGGGGAGCAAACGGG